Non-coding RNA from Poecilia reticulata (guppy), 1492 nucleotides. NCBI's taxonomy places the organism in Eukaryota, Metazoa, Chordata, Actinopteri, Cyprinodontiformes, Poeciliidae. The record is from RefSeq and is a predicted model, not a curated record.
CAAAUGUUUAUCCCAAAAUUCAAAAGUGAAUCCAAAAUUCUGGAUUCGCCGCCGUUCGACUUUUAAUCUCCAACCACAGAAACAUCAAUCAAAAGGCUGCGGGCUACAGGCGCAUCAGCUCUUACAGAGAAGCACAACCUGAGACCAGAAGUGUAAAAGGGAUCGUCGAAAGGGCCAAAAGGGGAAAACGGUUGUACAAAUCACAAUGGCUUUGCAUGCCUUCCGUCACCUUCAGUGUUCAAGACGAGGCGACAGGAAAUUUCAGCCUCGAUCUGACUGGUUUCAAAUAAUUUCCUCUGGAAUGCAAUGGCAAGAUUGAGGCCCGCCUUACCUGCCGGUAGAGAUGAGGCGCACCGUGGAGACCCUCACCAGACGCAAAUGUGACAGAAGUCUGCAAACAGCUCAUAUUAUUUAUGGACGACAGCACUAUUGCGUGAAACUGUGCUUACAACACUUCUCCGGUUUCCCCCAUAGAGAUCCACGUCGCUGUGCAGCAGCUGUCUCCCUGCUCUUUUUCAUUUCCCUCCUCCGGUUAUUCACUCUUGAGGCGCCGUCUCGCCACGCUCUGUUGCAGGCUAAUUACCUGCGUCGCUCGGAAAAGAAGAUGAGGAGGAGAUCCCCGAGCGGAAGUGACAGGUGUCUUUGUCCCUCUGUAAACAGCCUUACCCGCCCCGCCGCCCUCCGCUCCGGACUCCUGAGUGCGCCGCGAGUGUCGGCGUAAAUGACGAAUCUUUUCAAGGCCACUUCAUUCUUGACAUUGAUUCCAAUAAAUCCAGAACGAGAACCAAAAGUGUACUUACCGUCUCCGUCUGCUGCCACCGGUUUACUCGUAAAUUGCCAUUCUUCUCAUGACUCGACGACUUGCAAGAGAGGCCUGCGUAUGAAACGGCUAUGUUUUUAAACAGACACCGGAGCUUUGUUUUUAAAUUUAACGUUACGACCUGGAACUAGGGAACGCCUGCAGUGCCUUGCAAAAACAUUCGGCCCCCUUGAACUUUUCAAUCUUUUGCCACUUUGAAAUGUUAAUGCAGGACCAUUCUGGAAGAAAACCUGUUGGAGUCUGCAAAAGACCUGAGACUGCGACGGAGAUUUAUCUUCCAACAAGACAAUGAUCCCAAACAUAAAAGCAAAAUCUACAAUGGAAUGGUUCACAAAUAAAUAUAUCCAGGUGUUAGAAUGGUCAAGUCAAAGCCCAGACCUGAAUCCAGUCGAGAAUCUGUGGAAAGAGCUGAAAACCGCUGUUCACAAGCGCUCUCCGUCCAACCUCACUGAGCUUCGGCUGUUUUAAGGAAGAAUGGGCAAGAAUUUCAGUCUCUUGAUGUGGAAAACUGACAGAGACAAAACCAAGAGACUAGCAGCUGUAACUGCGGCAAAAGGUGGCGCCACAAAGUAUUAACGCAAGGGGGGCGGAAAAUAUUGCACGCCCCACUUUGCAGUUUUUUAUUUGUUAAAAAAAAGUUUAAAAUACCCAAUAAAUUUUGUUCCACCUCAC